This 253-nucleotide ribosomal RNA is filed under the name uncultured bacterium. RNAcentral's name for it is "partial 16S ribosomal RNA". It matches the Rfam family "Bacterial small subunit ribosomal RNA", at positions 524 to 776 of the family's 1533-position model. The record is from RNAcentral.
UACAGAGGUCUCAAGCGUUGUUCGGAUUCAUUGGGCGUAAAGGAUGCGUAGGUGGCGGGGUAAGUCAGGUGUGAAAUUUCGGAGCUUAACUCCGAAACUGCAUUUGAUACUGCCUUGCUUGAGGACUGGAGAGGAGACUGGAAUUCAUGGUGUAGCAGUGAAAUGCGUAGAGAUCAUGAGGAAGACCAGUGGCGAAGGCGGGUCUCUGGGCCGGAACUGACGCUAAGGAGCGAAAGCGUGGGGAGCGAACAGG